CUGUGGUGUGUUGAACUGGUUUAUCUGGUUGUCUCCACUUAACUUCUGUAAUGACAUCAAGACAUUUGGGCUUAUGGAAGCGUUUCCUUGAGAAUGUCGAAUUACUGCUGUAUCAUUCUCUCGGUCCUCUCUCUUAAAGGAGCCAGCUUUAACGACAACAGUCUCGCGCACAAACCCCUUCCUCCUGACGGUGGCGCUGUCAGCGGGAGGCUCGGCCCGAGGCGACUUGUUCUGGGAUGACGGCGACAGCAUCGGGAGCUUCGAGAAAGGAAGUUAUUGUUACGUCAUCUUCACUGCCGGACAGUCCCAGGUUGUGAGUGAGCCCCUCCGACUAAAUGGAGACCUGGAUGGUCUCGUAUUGAGAAGAAUGCAAGUGUUUGGGGUGUCCUCGCCGCCCCAAUACGUGGUAGCCAAUGGGGAGAAAGUGAGGGAUUUUACGUAUAAUGAUGACACAAAGGUUCUAAAUGUGAGCAGCUUGGCCUUGCCCAUGUCAAAGAUGUUUACAGUUCAGUGGGCACUUUGAUGUACUGAUUUCGAUUUGCCAUGAUGCCACUGCAGAGGUAUCGUCACAGCAACUUUCCACUUUUACACUGGAUCUAAAUAUCGGCUACUUUUUCCCUUGAUAUGUAAAUAUUAAAUUUUUUUUUU
This is a long non-coding RNA of Hippocampus comes (tiger tail seahorse), 648 nucleotides long. RefSeq lists it as uncharacterized. The transcript has 3 exons. The record is from RefSeq and is a predicted model, not a curated record. Lineage: Eukaryota; Metazoa; Chordata; Actinopteri; Syngnathiformes; Syngnathidae.